This 43153-nucleotide long non-coding RNA is filed under the name Vigna radiata. RNAcentral describes it as "long non-coding RNA (VRAD_LNC009646)". The record is from RNAcentral. Lineage: Eukaryota; Viridiplantae; Streptophyta; Magnoliopsida; Fabales; Fabaceae.
CAUCAACUUCACUGGAGAAGACAUCCGCAGAAAAUUUGUUUCUCAUCUCAAUUCUGCCUUCUCUACUGUUGGUCUCACCACUUUCCUUCAUCACCCCAAUGCAGUGAAGUCAACUCACAUCCAACAACCUAUUCACAGCCACUGUCGUGUAGCAAUUGUUGUUUUCACCCAAACCUAUUCUCAAUCUGCUUGGUGUCUUCAUCAGCUUCAUCAUAUCAUCAACUGGCACGAAACUUAUUGCCGACAUGUUCUGCCCGUAUAUUAUGAAAUCCAGCCAUCUGAUGUACGUCUUCAGAAGGGUGACUUUGGAAAAGCUUUCAAGGCAACUGCUCAACAAACAUUUUCAGAACAAGAACUUGAGCAUGGCAUGUCCAGGUGGAGCCAUGCACUCACCAAAGCUGCAAAUUUCUUUGGAUGGGAUGAGAGCAAUCACAGGUACAUCACUCACUCAAUCAACCAUCUUUUAAGCUUCCAAUUUCAUUUUUUUAAUACAUGACUUCUUCUAUUAUUGCUCUUGAACUUGAAGGAGUGAUGCUGAAUUAGUGGACAAAAUUGUUAAGAGCGUUGUUAAUUUACUGGUUUUGUCUGCUACUAAAUUUCCAGUAGGAUUACAAUCCCGCGUGGAAGAUCUGAUUCGAACUAUCAAAAAUAAAUCCACUGAAGUUUGUAUUGUAGAGAUAUGUGGAGACCAAGGAUAUGGUAAAACAACUCUUGCCAAAGCGAUCUACAAUCAAAUUCAUUGGACAUUCAAGAAGAAAAGUUUCAUUGAAAAUAUUUCACAAGUUACCGGAAUAAGAGGGUAUCUUCGUUUACUGGAACAACUUGUUUUAGAUAUCCUAAAACAAAAGGUGGAGAUUCCUACUAUUGAUGUGGGAAGAAGAAUGAUUCGGGAAACACUUUAUGGAAAAAGGUGCUCAUUGUACUUGAUGAUGUGCCUAACAAUUAUGAACUUUUAGCACUAUGGACUUAUAAUCAUUAUUGGUUCAGUAAAGGAACGGUAAUAAUCAUUACAACAAGCGAUGAAGACCUACGGAUGAACCAGCCGAUAGAUUCUAUAUUUCGGCUAGAGCGAAUGAACGCAGAGGAUUCCCUUGAGCUUUUUAGUUGGCACGCAUUUAGAGAACCAAAACCAAAGGAUGAAUACGAAGACCUUGCAAGAAGAGUAAUUAGUUAUUGUAGAGGAGUAACACUAGCUCUUGAAAUCGUUGGAAGUAGUUUAUUUGAAAAGACGAAAGAAGAAUGGAACAGUUUAUUGUUUAAAUAUCUGAUAAUUGGCUGGCAUCGUGUUCCAGAUAUUAUAAAAGUAAGCAUCGAAGGUUCACUGAAUGAAAUGGAAAAAGAUAUAUUCCUUGAUAUAUGUUNNNNNNNNNNNNNNNNNNNNNNNNNNNNNNNNNNNNNNNNNNNNNNNNNNNNNNNNNNNNNNNNNNNNNNNNNNNNNNNNNNNNNNNNNNNNNNNNNNNNNNNNNNNNNNNNNNNNNNNNNNNNNNNNNNNNNNNNNNNNNNNNNNNNNNNNNNNNNNNNNNNNNNNNNNNNNNNNNNNNNNNNNNNNNNNNNNNNNNNNNNNNNNNNNNNNNNNNNNNNNNNNNNNNNNNNNNNNNNNNNNNNNNNNNNNNNNNNNNNNNNNNNNNNNNNNNNNNNNNNNNNNNNNNNNNNNNNNNNNNNNNNNNNNNNNNNNNNNNNNNNNNNNNNNNNNNNNNNNNNNNNNNNNNNNNNNNNNNNNNNNNNNNNNNNNNNNNNNNNNNNNNNNNNNNNNNNNNNNNNNNNNNNNNNNNNNNNNNNNNNNNNNNNNNNNNNNNNNNNNNNNNNNNNNNNNNNNNNNNNNNNNNNNNNNNNNNNNNNNNNNNNNNNNNNNNNNNNNNNNNNNNNNNNNNNNNNNNNNNNNNNNNNNNNNNNNNNNNNNNNNNNNNNNNNNNNNNNNNNNNNNNNNNNNNNNNNNNNNNNNNNNNNNNNNNNNNNNNNNNNNNNNNNNNNNNNNNNNNNNNNNNNNNNNNNNNNNNNNNNNNNNNNNNNNNNNNNNNNNNNNNNNNNNNNNNNNNNNNNNNNNNNNNNNNNNNNNNNNNNNNNNNNNNNNNNNNNNNNNNNNNNNNNNNNNNNNNNNNNNNNNNNNNNNNNNNNNNNNNNNNNNNNNNNNNNNNNNNNNNNNNNNNNNNNUGAUAACUCUAAUUGCUGAAAAUAUAGUUGUGAAACAUGUGCCUUUUUCAAUUAUAAGCUCAAAAGGCAUUGGAUAUAUGUCCCUACGAGGAUUUCAGAGAUUAUCUCAUAAUUUUUUUCCUUCUAUCAUUCGGUCUUGGAUGUCGCCAACAAUGAAUCCCAUUUCUUAUAUUCAUUCGUUUUGCAUGGAUAUCGAGGAUAAUACGAUUGAUAUUGCACCGUUGCUUAGCACCCUUGCAAAUAUUCGAAGUGUUUUGGUAGCAUGUGACACCGAAUUUCAGUUAUCUAAGCAAGUGAAAAAUAUUUUGGUUGAAUAUUUUGCGAAUAUUACAGAAUCAGGAAUUUCAAAGCAGCACUUCAGGUGCUCUUUGAUUGGUGUUGGAACAUACCAUCAAUUCUUCAAUGCUGUCAGCGAUAACAUAUAUCAGGUUCUUCUCUAUCUUUGUAUCUCUUUAUUACUUUCAGUUUCAUUUUUCACUAUUAAUCUAGAGAACAUAGAAUAAUCCUAAUUAAAUAUAUGACUGAAACUACAAUAAUCAACUUUAGCACGCUUAAUUUAUAUAGAACCUCAUCUAGAGGUUUCUUAUUUUGGUAAUCCACUAAUCAAGAGAUUUUGCUUUUAUUUCAAUACUUCCUUCACUACCACAAAAAUAGUUUUUAACUUCUUUUAUUUUAGGCUUUUGACGUCUGUUAAAUGACAUCGACGUAAAUUGACGUAUGUUGUCUUUGAACAAACGUUAAUUUAUGUUUUUUUUUUUUUAAAUUUCGCCACCAUGAAGGUGAGGAAGUAGACACGUGCCAAUGUGAGGAUGAGGAGAAAAACACGCACAACAAUGGUUUGAAAAUUGCAGGGACCGAUGUCAAUAAUCCUCUAGAUCCAACGUCGAAUAUAGCAGGGGCCGACGUCUAAUGUCUGCAAAAGUGUUAGGACCUUUUUGACGUAUGAUAUGGGGCCCGACGUCUAAAGGAGGAUUUGACGUCUGAUUUAGGGUGUCCAACGUCUAUAUUGUAAAAAAAUAUUAAUAUUGACGUUUAAAAUGAGAUAUUUUUGGACCUUUUUUGACGUCUAAUUUGGGGGGCUCGUCUAAAGGAGGAUUUGACACCUGAUCCUGGAGGAACGAACUUCUAUAAUGACAUUUUAUUUACAAUAAUGUCACCAAUCAGUUACACGCAUGACGUUAAAAGUCAUUUCUGCACUAGUGUUUACUCUAUUUUACUGGCUUCACGACUAUUAUAUAUCCAAUCGUGGUAGAAAUAUGCUAAAAGGACAAAAACUUAAAUGCUUUGUAAAUAGGUAACAACCUAAUGAUGAUACAUACAGAACAAAAGUAUUAAUCAGAUUUGUUUAGAUUAAUUUCCAUUGGUAUGUUUUGAUUAUGUACUGCAUUAUAGUUUGGUUGAUUAUAAAUGCCCACUUUGUAAUUAUUAAUGUUAAAAUAAUGAUUAUAGAAGACAAUUUGAAUAGAAAAAUUAGAUAAAUGAACAAGCCUUGUAUGUUAUGGUGUAGGUAUUGUCAAGCAGUGAGUCUUAUGAUGUUUGUCUCCCAGCUGUCGAUGAUCCUUAUUGCAUGGCCCAUAUGGGUGAGGGACACUCUGUUUCUUUCGUUGUGCCUGAAGAUGGUGAUAUGAAAGGAAUGAUUUUGUGUGUUAUCUAUUUAUCAACUCCUAAGAUCAUUGAACCUCAAUUUACUACUGUCGUAAUUGUUAAUUACACAAAGUGUACAUUCCAUAUACACAAUCAUGGCACAGCAAUUUCCUUUAAAGAUGAAGAUUGGCAUGACAUAAUGUCAAAUUUAGAAUGUGGAGACAAUGUGGAGAUAUUUGUGAACUUUGGUAAUGGAUUGGUGGUCAAGAACACAACGGUGUAUCUGAUAUGGGGUGAAGCAGAGAACAUGGAAAAAGUGUCUGAGCCAAAAAAACAGUCUCUCAUUAGAUUCAUAAAGAAAGUUGUAAUGUGACUUCUGAUAAGUCAUUUAUGUUUUUUUGAGAACAGCAUUAUCAUUUAGUGAUAGAAAUAAAUAAUCAUAUUGUCACAUCAAGAAUCAUCACUAAUUUCUCUUAAAAGAAAAAAAGGAUAUGCUUUAUGAAAUAAAGGCAGCUGUUGACACAUAUAUGAGACAACAUUUUGACACAUAUGUUGACACAAAAUAAUGGAAUUUUUAUUCGAAUAAGAAUAAUUUAUUCACUCUUAAAAAAAUUAAGUCAAGAAUUCGGGUAGAAUCAUACAAAUUUUCAUUGAAGUGUUUCAGAUAUGGUAAAUAACAAAAAAAAUAAAAAAUAAUGUAAUUUUCUUUAAACAAGGUAACAAUUUUCUUUAAAAAUAAGAAUAUAGAUUAAUAACAUCAAACUCUCAAAACAAUAAAAAUAAAAAAUAAAAUAAAACUAUAUAUUUCAAGUGUGAUUUUAUGAUAAAUGCAUAUGACGACGUAUUCUUUUUAGUCCAAUUAUUUUUUUAAACUUGUGGUAUUGUUUCUUUAGUGUGCUUUUAAAAUAAUUAAAUUGUAAUAUAUUAAAAAAUUACUGAUAUGUUUUAAAAUAUAAAUUAGUGCAAAAACGUUUUUUAACGUCACAUGGUAGACGUCGGUUACGGGCAUUUGCGACGCAUAUUGAUGACCGGUGGCAAUUCCGUAAAUAAGUUGGCAAUAUAGGCGUAGGUUAGGUCCAUCUUCUACGUCUAUAGAAUUUUAGAAGGCCCUUCAAACCUGACGUCUAUAUUUCUAACCGCUAGGUAAAAAGUCAUUUCCAUCAGCCUUAUAGACGUCGGUUCGUUUGGGACACCGACGUCGAAAUGGCAGAAAUUAAUGUUGCUCACCUACUUAUCAGACAUAUAGACGUCAGUCCCCUUCUAACUGACGCCUAUAAGUUUGUCAAGCAGGUGAAUAGUCACUGUUUUCAGCCUUAUAGGAGUCGAAGCCCACCACAUUGAAGGGGCCCCGACGUCUACAUGGCGAAAAUUAAUGCUCCCCACCAACCUGUCAGACAUAUAGACGUCGGUCUCGUUGUAACUGACGCCUAUAUGUCUACCGGACAGGUGAAUAGUUACUUUUUUUGAGAGCUCCUGUUGUAGCUGUCAGUGUUCACAGCUCCUGUUGUAAUAUUGAGAGAUUCCAUUUCUGGUCUCACGGCUUCGAACUCCUUUUCAUCCUCUUCCAUUUGUAACAAUAAAUACUGUCUGUUGGGACACUUAUGAUUGAAAGAAAAUUUCUCAUCACAAAAAUAACAAAGACCCUUCUCUCGUCGUAGUUGCAUUUUCGUAGGACUGAUUUUCUUCACAUUGGAAUUUCGAAAAUUAGGUCCUGAAGGGGUGGGUAAUAAUGGAGGUAGAGGCUGGGAAGUGUAAGGAGGUUUCGGAGGGGUUCUGAGAGCAUUAUUCUGAUUAGAAUUGAAGGUGAUGUUGGAAUAUCUAUGGCCCUGUGGUGGAGUUCGAGCAAUAGCAACAGGGGCAUAUUUUUCCUCAAAUAAUUUAGCCAGUGACACAGCUCUCAAUAAAUUGGUAGGACUCUGAGCUACCACAUCUCGUCUAAUAUCUUUGUUCAAUCCACUUAAAAAGCAAUUUAAAAGAACUUCAGAAGUUAACCCAUCAGAGCGAUUGGCUAAACUCAUGAAUUUCAAAUAAUAAUCAGCAACUGUACCAGUUUGUGUCAAUUUGAACAACUCAGCCAUAGGGUUAUCAAACGGGGAAGGACCAAAUUGUGAUUCCAAAGCAUAAAUUCCAAGACUGGAAGACAUUCUCCUUUUGCAACAUCUGAAACCAUGGAAUGACAUCCUUCUCAAAAUGCAUCGCAUCUAUUUCCACCCUCUCCAAAUCUGGAGUAUUGUGGUAAUUGAAGAAUUUUUCUACCUUAAAGAUCCAUUAUAACACAGGCGUUUGACCAUCGAAGUGAGGAAAACCCAGCGAUAUGUCGCAAACAGGCAUCGCUACAGGGAACACCCCUGAAUUUGCAAACUGUGAUCCAUUCUUUGAGCUCGUAUCACCAACGUGCUGAGUUUGAAUCUUGAUUAAAUGAUCAAUGGCUAUCUGGAUUUGAUUCAUGCGCUGCUCUGUUUUGUCAAUCAGUUCUUGAUUCAACUUAUCUCUAUCAUUUUGCUUUUCCAUCCAGCUCACCAACGAAGUAACCUAUGUCUGUAAAUCCUUUAAACGUGUGUUCUCAGUCAUUGGAGUCAACGAAAGCACCAAUGUAACAGUAAUGAAACAAUACUAUGAUAGGAAAAUUUAGAAGGGAAUGAAUCUUAUUAAUAGGAAUAAGUGUCUAUGUCAUCCACACUAUAACAAGAAGUUCCAGGAUUCUGUAAAAGAAAAAAAUAACAAAUAGAAUCCCAAAAACACUAGUUGCUGCAUAAACAGAGCAUCAUCCUACAUAGCAAAAAGGGAUAAGGUCAGAGAGCAUAAAGAGUAGUGAGGAAAUUUCUGGAAGAGAGAGAAUACAGAGAGAAACUUGCCACAUUCCACACACGCCUCCUCACUAACGCAUGAAUCCUUUUAUAAGGGAAUUUUCCUUAUGCAUCCUAGUGUUGCGUCUGCUUUCCACUUUAUGUUGAUCAAGCUCCACGUGUCCCUGAUCAAGCUCCACGUGUCCUUCAUUCCUAACAGCCUGUGCCUCACUCCCAUCAUGCUUUAGCUCACGUGUUACAGUUAAGGUUCAGUUACUCUUCUAAAAGUAAAAAACUAGAAAAAGGUAAAAAAGGGUAAAAAAGUUAAAGAGAAAGAUUAUUUCUGUAAAUAAAAAAAAAAUGUAGAAAAUUGGGGGAGGUGGAGGAAGAAAAUGGGGAGGUGGAGGAAACAACCCCCGGAAAAAUUUCUUAAAAACCAACAUCAGCUCCAGCCGUCUCUAAUUUAUAAGAUAUACCCAUAAAAAGCCAGUGUUCAUAUCGCAAUAUUAUAAUGGAAAAAUGUGUUUUUUAUUGACCAAGAGAUCAUUGGGAGAAAAUUUCUCUACAACACUUCUAAGAAAGAAAAUCAAGAUUAACUUUAGUUUAUGAUAUUGAGUUGAUUUUCUUCCUCAAUAUUUCUUACGACAGAAAACUAAAAAAAAUAUUUUGUUUUAUAAACUACAAUUAUCUUAUGCAUAAGUUGAUUUAUAAAAAAACUUAUAUAAUUAACUUAAUACAUAUAUUUUGGUUCUUAUUUUUGUUAAUUUUAUUCAAAGUCAUCUUAAGUUCUUUUACAUUUAAAAUGGUUUUUUAAUUUGUAAAAUUUAUUCAUUUGCAUCGUUUUCGCUUAAAUAGCUAACUUUGUAAUGUCAUCUCAACCAAUAUUAAAUGAAUGAUGAGUUUUGAAUAUAGGUGACAAGGGCAACGGUAUGAGGUAGUGCAAAAGUCCAACAAAAAUUUGAUAAAAAUUCAAAUGUGAUGAUGUAUGUGUUAACAUUGUAUUUAGCAAUUUAUGAAUUCUCCUUCUCUGUCUUGCAGUAUUAGUUUCUCUUUCUAACUAUUCAUCACCUCUUAUCAAUUCCUUUCCAUGGAUAACGCCUUCUCAUCCUACAAACUCCCACGGAAGUAUGAUGUGCUCAUCAACUUCACUGGAGAAGACAUCAACAGAAAAUUUGUUUCUCAUCUCAAUUAUGCCUUCUCUACUGUUGGUCUCACCACUUUCCUUCAUCACCCCAAUGCAGUGAAGUCAACUCACAUUCAAGAACCUGUUCUCAGCCACUGUCGUGUAGUAAUUGUUGUUUUCACCCAAACCUAUUCUCAAUCUGCUUGGUGUCUUGAUCAGCUUCAACAAAUCAUCAAAUGGCACGAAACUUAUUGCCGACAUGUUCUGCCCGUAUAUUAUGAAAUCCAGCCAUCUGAUGUACGUCUUCAGAAGGGUAACUUUGGAAAAGCCUUGAAGGCAACUGCACAACAAACAUUUUCAGGUCAAGAACUGAAGCAUGGCAUGUCUAGGUGGAGCCAAGCAAUCACCAAAGCUGCAAAUCUCUUCGGAUGGGAUGAAAGCAAUCACAGGUACAUCACUCACUCAAUCAACAAUCUUUUAAGCCUCCGGUUUCAUUUUGUUAAUACAUGACUUCUUUUAUCAUUGCUCUUGAACUUCAAGGAGUGAUGCUGAAUUAGUGGAGAAAAUUGUUAAGAGCGUUGUUAAUUUGCCAGCCUUGUCUGUUACUAAAUUUCCAGUUGGAUUACAAUCCCACUUGGAAGAUCUGUUUCGAACUAUCAAAAAUAAAUCCACGGAAUUUUGUAUGAUCGAGAUAUGUGGAGAGGAAGGAUCUGGUAAAACAACUCUUGCCAAAGCGAUCUACAAUCAAAUUCAUUGGACGUUCAAGGAGAAAAGUUUCAUUGAAAAUAUUUCACAAGUUACCGGAACAAGAGGGUAUAUUCGUUUACUAGAACAACUUCUUUUAGAUGUCCUAAAACAAAAGGUGGAGAUUCCUAGCGUUGAUGUGGGAAAUAAAAUGAUUCGGGAACGACUUUAUGGAAAAAGGCUACUCAUUGUACUUGAUAAUGUGCUUCACAGCUAUGAACUUUUAGAAGUAUGGACAUAUAAUCAUUAUAGGUUCAGCAAAGGAACUGUAAUAAUAAUUACAACAAGCGAUGAAAACCUACUGAUGGGCCAGCCGACAUAUUCUAUGUUUCGGAUAGAGCGAAUGAACGCAGAGGAGUCCCUUGAGCUUUUUAGUUGGCACGCAUUUAGAGAACCAAAACCAAAGGAAGAAUACGAAGACCUUGCAAGAAGAGUAGUUAGUUAUUGUGGAGGACUACCACUAGUUCUUGAAAUCAUUGGAAGUAGUUUAUUUGAAAGGACGGAAGAAGAAUGGCAUCGUGUACUGUUUGCGAUAGAUGGCAGGCAUCGUGUUUCAGAGAUAAUAAAAGUAAGCAUCGAAGGUUCACUCAAUGAAAUGGAAAAAUAUAUAUUCGUUGAUGUAUGUUGUUUGUUUGUCGGUAAGAGCAGAGCCUAUGUUAGGAAGAUCCUAAAGGGCUGUGGAGUAGAUGCUGAUAUUGCAAUAAGAGUUCUCAUCCAGCGUAACCUCAUCAAAAUUGACAACAACAAAAAAUUUCGAGUGCAUCCUUUGCUACAAAAUAUCGGAGGACAAAUUAUUCAUGAAAAAGUAGUAGGAGAUUUUGAGAAGAACAGGCCACCGUCAAAAUAUGUAAGAACAUUCUUUACAUGUGGUUUGAAACUUCUUUUAAAAGCGUUUUCUUUCAGCUGUGCAGUACAACUUUUUUUUUUUUAUUUGCUUUUUUCAUCACAGGAGACAGAAGCCCUGCAGUGGUUGCCUGCGAAACUGCUCGCUGCCAUCGAAAGUGUGCAGCCGACUUUAAAUUCUCAGUACCUUUUUAAGAAACUAAGAUGGAUCAGUUCGUAUGGGCUUUCUUCAGAAUGUCUGCCUAACAACUUCUAUUGGGAUGAUGCAACAGUGAUUGAUUUGAAACGAAGUCUUCUUCAAUUUCUCUGGAAAACACCCCAGGUUUUAUUACCAGCCACUUCUCUUUAAAACACAACUUAAUUAAAAUAAAUUGGUAACUUGCUAUUAUUUCAUUUUUUAUUUCUACUCUAAUAUUUCUAAAAUGAAAAACUAUUUUGGAGCAGGUUUUGAGAUCGCUAAAAGUCCUUAACCUCAGUCACUCCACGGAUUUAACUACAACCCCUGACUUUACCGGAUUACCAAGUCUUGAACACCUCAUUUUGAAAUAUUGUUCUAGAUUGCGCAAACUACACCAAUCUAUUGGAUCACUCAACAGUCUUAUCCUACUAAAUUUGAAAUUCUGUACAAGUCUAAACAAUCUUCCAACAGAGAUAUAUGAGUUGAAAUCUUUAAGAACCUUCAUUCUCUCUGGUUGUUCCAAGAUUCACAUAAUGGAUAAAGAUAUAGCAAAGUUGGAAUCCUUGAUAACUCUAAUUGCUGAUACACCUGUCAAACAUGUGCCUUUUUCAAUUGUAAGCUCAAAAGGCAUUGGAUAUAUGUCCCUACUAGGAUUUGAGGGAUUAUCUUAUAAUCUUUUUCCUUCUAUCAUUCGGUCCUGGAUGUCCCCAACAAUGAAUUCCAUUUCUUAUAUUCAUUCGUUUUGCAUGGAUAUCGAGGAUAAUACGAUUGAUAUUGCACCAUUGCUUUGCACCCUUGCACAUAUUCGAAGUGUUUUGGUAGCAUGUGAAACCGAAUUUCAACUAUCUAAGCAAGUGACAAAUAUUUUGGUUGAAUAUUUUGCGAAUAUUACAGAAUUAGGAAUUUCAAAGCAGCACUUGAGGUGUUCUCUGAUUGGUGUUGGAGCAUACCAUCAAUUCUUAAAUGCUAUCAGUGAUAACAUAUAUGAGGUUCUUCUCUAUCUUCGUAUCUCUUUCUUACCUUCACUAUCAUUAUAGCUAUUAAUCAAGAGAACAUAAAAUACUCCUAAUGAAAUAUCUGACUGAAACUACAAUAUUCAAUUUUAGCACACUUAAUUUCUAUUGCCAUAGAACCUCAUCUAAAGGUUUCUUAUUUUGGUAAUCAACUAAUCAAGUGAUUUUGCUUUUAUUUCAAUACUUUCUUACCUUAUUGUACUGGCUUCACGAUUGUUAUAUUUCCAAUCGUCGAAGAGAUAUUCUAAUAGAGACAAAAACAUAAAUGCUUUGUAAAUCACUAACGAAGUAAUGAUGAUACAUACAGAACAAAACUAUUAAUCAGAUUUGUUUAGAUGAAUUACCAUUGGUAUGUUUUGAUUAUGUACUGCAUUGUUGUUUGUUUGAUUAUAAGUGCCUACUUUGUAAUUAUUAACGUUAAAAUAAUUAUUAUAGAAGACAUUUUGAAUAAAAAAAAUUAAAUAAAUGACCAAACCUUUUAUGUUAUGGUGCAGCUAUUGGGAAGUAGUGAGUCUGGAGAUGUUUGUCUCCCAACUGUGAAUGAUCCUUAUUGUAUGGCCCAUAUGGGUGAGGGACACUCUGUUUCUUUCACUGUGCCUGAAGAUCGUGACAUGAAAGGAAUGGCUUUGUGUGUUGUUUAUUUAUCAAAUCCUAAAAUCAUUGAACCUGAAUUUACUACUGUCAUAAUUGUUAAUUACACAAAGUGUACAUUCCAGAUACACCACCAUGGCACAGUAAUUUCUUUUAGAGAUGAAGAUUGGCAUGACAUAAUGUCAAAUUUAGAAUCUGGAGACAAUGUGGAAAUUUUUGUGAAUUUCGGUAAUGGAUUGGUGGUAAAGAACACAACAGUGUAUCUGAUAUGGGGUGAAGCAGAGAACAUGGAAAAAGCGUCUGAGCCAAAAAAACAUUCUCUCAUUAGAUUCGUAAAGAAAGUUGUAAUGUGACUUCUGAUAAGUCAUUUAUUUAUGUUCUUUGAGAACAGCAUGAUCACUUUGGUAAUGGAAAUAAUCCUACUGUUCGUGAUUGCUAUUUAUAUUUUCCCAUCCUUUCCUUGUUUUUCCAUUGAGUAUAGCUUACAGUUAAGAAAUUCAUGUUUGUUUUGUAAGCUAUUUUAUUUUUCAAUUUCUAAAAUUAUACAGGAUGUUAAAUUCUAUGAUUCUUAUAAAUUUUCAUAUUCAUAAAUAUAAAAGCAAAAACUUAUCUAGAACUAUUGUAAAGUUUUUUAAUCCAUAUUUUUUUUCUCUUACUUCUCUUUAAUAACUUUUAAUAAUAUAGAAUUACGCGAUUAAAAAUUCUCUGUUAAAAAUUAUAUCUUUCGUUCAUAGAAGAACUUAACUUUUUCCACUUUUUAUAAAAGUAACUAUCAUUACCUUAUUUUAAAAACAUUAAUAAAAUACUGAAAAUGUCCUUCUUGAAGUGAGAAUAGAGGAAUUAAUUUUAUCACCCAGUAUUAUACCAUAAAUACUUUUAUCACCUAAUAUUACAAAAUAAAUAAAUACUUACUUUUAGAAAAUAUUAAAAUAAAAAUAAAAGUUAUUUUUAUUUUAUCCGAAUUUUAUAGUUGAUGCAUAAAGAUGUGGCAUUGCAAGAUUCUAUGUUUUUUUUUUUCACGAGAAUAGGAAGAAAAGAGAAACUGAAUAAUAUUAUUUAGACUAAAAAUACAUUUAUAAAAAGUAUAUAUAUUUUAAGUAACAUAAUACAAACUCAAACUUACAACUUACACGAUACAAAAGAAUGCAAAGUAAGUAAAAAAAUUACUGAUAACAAUUUAUCUUUAAUUAUUUUAAAAAAGAAAUCAGCACAAACUCUGGUCAUUCCAACACCAUUGAAAAAUAAAACAAUUUUUAUCACUAAAUUACGUGAUUAAUUAAUUGAUUUUAUCAUUUUCUUAAGUUUAUCGGUUUAGCACCCUGGAAUGCAAGACUGUUAAAAUCAAAUAAAAAACGCUUGAUGUGUUAACAAUUAUGAAGAAAUGAAAGUAUGUUUUUAUUGUGGAAUAAAUGAACCCAACUCAACUACGCGUAUAAACUCUACUAUAAAAAAUAGCCUCUCAUUUAACAAAACAUCUGUCGUCGCACCUAUAUGCAUUAUUAUGAUACUUAUGCGAAUAUAUAUAGAGAUAUAUAGAGAGAGAAUAUACAUAUAUAUCAUUGACAUAGGAUUUCUGAUACAUUUGUUCGAGAAUUUGAAUUCAUUUCUCUGAUUUUGAUGGUAUUUGUUUAUUAUUUCUUUAAAAUAUACCGAUUUUAAUAUUUUAAAUAUAUUAAAAAGAUUAAUAUAUCAAAAUUUGUAUGUUUUGAAACACAGAAAAAAAACAAUAUCAAAAUUUCAAUAGAGAAUUUAGAUUUCGUUUCGAUAUUGUGAGAUAAAAUAUUUCUGAAUAUUUUCAGUAUGUCUUUUUUAUUUACAAUUUUUAAUCCUUUUAAAAGUAGUAGUAGGUUUCAUAUGCAUAAUUGUUUUAAUUUUAUAAUUUUAACUAUUAUGACAUUUCUUAACUAUUUUCAUCAUAAUUCUUUUAGUUAAAAAUUACUUCUAGUUAUCCAGUUGUAUUGGAUUUUAUAUGUUGUAAUUUCAAAAUAGACAUGUGAUUUACUGGAUUUGGAAUUUUUUUUAACAUUUCUUAUGAUUUUUAGGUCAAAACAGAUUGUUAAAAUUAGUAAAAGAAUCCAUAUAUCGUAUUAGCUUAAAUUUUGUAAUUGGAUUUAUAGAACUAAUAAAUAUAUGUUUGUUACAUACUUUGUUACUUAAUUAUGUACUCUAAACUAGUAGACAUGGUUUAAUUUUUAGUUUUAAAAACUGUGUCUUCAUCUCAAAUAAAUUUUUAGUACGGAUUAUGAUACUAAAAUAAAGAAUUCAAGUUUAACUCGAUCUAGCAAAAUAAUGUUGAAAGAUAAAGUUUUACAUAAAAAAAUCAAUUUAUCGAGUUCCCUCUCCUAUUACAUUUUGGUCAUCAUAAGCAUAAACUUUCCUUGAAGUUGUUGCGUCCAAGUCUUAGAAUAAAAUCUGGAAAAUAAUGAGGAAGAAGAAUAUCAUAAUAGAUGUUAAUAAUUGCCUUCCAUGAGUGUUAAUAUAGAUAUAAUGUAUUUCGUCAAACACACAUGAGACUUCAUUUUCGUGUUUAAAAUGUUUUUUCUUAAUAAAUAUCCAAAUUGUUUAGUUUCUUAAAGACCAUGCUUGUAAUUUAUAAAAAUAAGUGCUCUUCCAAAAGAGAAUUCUCGAGAAGCUUCUAGUCUCGCAAAAGAGAUAAGCGACCAUGGAGAAGCGAAAAACUAAGACCCAGAACAUGGAGAAAGCUGGAAGCAACAGGUAGGAAAACUCAAUCUUAGACUUUGUAAUAUCCAAAUAUAAAACUUUGUUUCGUUACAAAUGGUAAGAGAAAAGGAAGAACCCUAUAUAUAGGGUUCCUUGGGAAAAAGGGGGAAAACUGAAAAAAUGGGAAUCCUAAUUAAUAGACCUAAUUUUACCUAAAGAGUAAUCUAACUGAUUAAUUUAGUUCUAAUAGUUUUCCCUCAAGUUGGAUGGUUGUUAAGACUGCAAAACCAAUCGCAAGUGCACCGGUCGUAGCGUAGCAAGUGAUAAAUAUCGUUCUCUCCCAAGGGACUUGUGCAACACAUGAUAAUUCUUCCUUUUAUAACUCAAUUAGACAUCAAAGUGCACAAAAACAACACAAGAAACUCUUUUUGGUAUUUUAUCAAACAGUUGGUGUACAAGGAAUUUAACAUAGUGUAUUUACAAUUUGUCAAGACUAGAGUUCAUCCAUUUCAUUCUCAUGCAUUUACAAACAACUCAAUUCCAUCAUUUGGUGUUCAAUUUCAGUUCUAAGUUCAAGUCAUAUUUUCCAAUACAUCAAGAACUAGAAUUCAAGCCAUGGGUGAUCAAGCCACAACAAGCAUUAAGCAUAGAAAUCAAAUACUAACAUUGAAAUGGAAAAGCAUAUAUCAUUAACAUCACAAAAUACAUAAGAAUUCCAUGUUUUACAACUAAUCUCAACAAAUAGGAAAAAUCCUCUAUGGUGGAGAACUUAGGGUUCACAAAAUUGAAGAGAUAAGGAAGAAAUUGAAACCAAAGAGAAGAUGCAACGCCUUUCCCAAGGUUCUUGGCAGCUGCUCCAUGCUCCAUUUGCGCCUCCCCUUCGCAUCUCCAUCUUCAAUUUGUGACUCAUCUUCUUCCUCAAUCCAAAAGGGGCAAAAUAACCAUUGAUGAAGCUUGAAGACCCAAGGAGGAGUGGGAAAGCUUCCCAACACCCCAAAUAGCCUCUAAGGGCCUCUCCCAAUCUUUCUAGGUGAAGAAUGAAGUGUAGGAGGAGAAGAAUCCCCAAAAAUCGCGAGACCCAUGUUUAAAUAACCCAUUUUUGACACAUCAGCGGAAAGUCGUGCCCAGCGCCCCCUUCUAGGGCGCCCGAGCACCAUAAAAACACAAAACAGCGAAUCAAAGGGCGCCCAGCGCCUUCCAAGGGCGCCCGAGCGUGAAAUCUCCAAAAAAAGGGGCGCUCAGAAUGAAGUGUAGGAGGAGAAGAAUCCCCAAAAAUCGUGAGACCCAUGUUUAAAUAACCCAUUUUUGACACAUCAGCGGAAAGUCGUGCCCAGCGCCCCCUUCUGGGGCGCCCGGGCACCAUAAAAACACAAAACAGCGAAUCAAAGGGCGCUCAGCGCCUCCUAGGGGCGCCCGGGCGUGAAAUCUCCAAAAAAAGGGGCGCUCAACGCCCUCCUAGGGGCACCCGGGCGCGACAGCUUUGACAGCAUUCUAAAAUUAAGGCUCUUGCGCGAUUCCGAAGGCGUCCAACAUAGGUAUUUGCUUCAAAUUGAUCUUUUAUGGUCUCAAAACAUGUUCCCUUGAGUUCUUGCUUGUUUUCCUCCACUAGAAUUGCUUCCUAUGCAUUUAUUUCACACACUCAAACAUAGAGAUUAGAGGUAAAAAACAAGCAUAUACUAAAUAAAACACAAGAAAACUAGAAAACACACUAAAUGUGAGGAUAAAACAAGGUAAAAGCUAUGAAGGAGUUGAUUUUGCUACUAAACUGAUGCUUAGAUAAUGGUAAGAAUUAGCAUUAUCGAUGGUGUGUACUCACUAAUCCAAGUUUGGGAACGAUGGAUCAUAACCGCACACGAUAGGGAAACUUGGUAAAGAGGUAAGCUAACUGUUCAUCUGAAUGAACUGGAAGCAGAUGUAAGAGAUUAGCCUAGAUCUUCUCACAAACAACAUGGCAAUCUAGCUUUUUGUGGUUCGUCCUCUCGUGAAAGCUCUGGUUAUGAGCUAUAUGCCUUGCAGACUUGUUGUCAAGGUAGAGCGCAAGAGUGCUAAUAACUUAAACUUGAAGAUCUUGAAGAAGAUAUUCAAUCCACUGUAUCUCACAUACAGUGGCUGCUGGAGCACGAUACUUUGCUUCGGUAGAAGAUCUGGAAACAAUGCUCUGCUUCUUGGAUUUCCAUGAGAUGAGAGAUGAGCGAAGGAAAACGCAAAAACCCCAAGUAACUCUUCGUUUUAUACAAUGAACUCGUAUCACUUAGAAAGGGGGUAGAACAUGGUUUGCAUCCUAGCAUUCUCGUUUCUUCAAGGAUGUCUAAAGCAUAUUUCCUUUGACAUAGAUGAAUUCCUUUCUUAGAUCUGGCCACUUCAAAGCCUAGGAAUUAUUUAUGUUCUCCCAAAUUUUUUAUUUGGAAUCUGUUAUGCAAAAGAACCUUUAUGUGAUUGAUCUCUGUCAUGGAAUUCCCUGCCAAUAUGAUGUCAUCUACAUAGACAAGUAAGGCUAUGAAAUUUUUAGGUGUCCUUUUGAUAAAAUGUGAGUGGUCAAAUUUAGAUUGAAUAUAAUUGACAAAAACAAGAAAAGAGGACAAAUUUUCAAACCACAGCCUACUAGCUUGUUUUAGUCCAUAUAAAGACUUAGUAUGUCUGCAAACCUGACCCUUUUCAUGGACAUUAAGACUAGGUGGUGGCUCCAUGUAAACUUCUUCAUUUAGGUCCCCAUGUAGGAAAACAUUGUCAACAUCAAGCUGGUGUAGAAACCAGUUAUUGGAAGUUGCAAGAGAAAUGAGUAAUCUAACAAUAGUGAGCUUGGCAAAUGGGGAAAAGGUGUCCAAAUAGUCUAUCCCUUCUUGUUGGGUAUAACCUUUAGCUACUAGGCGAGCAUUAUAUCUUUCUAUGGUGCCAUCAGCCUUGUAUUUAGUCUUGUAUACCCACUUACACCCAAUGAGGGUUUUUCCUAGAGGUAGUUGUGUCAAAUACCAAGUGUUAUUAUCCUACAAGGCCUUGAUUUCUCUCUGCAUAACUUCUGCCCAUUCACACGUGUUUUCAACCUCAUUAUAGGAGUGCGGCUCAUUAUUUGCAGUGAUGGCCAGAGUAUACCUCAAGAGUUUUUCUAAGAAAGAAUCACAAGAUAACAUAUAAGAAAUUGGAUAAGGGGUUUUAAAAUUGUUCUUUAUAGAUAAGGAUUGAUUAACCUGAUGCACAUAGUCAUUUAGGUACCCGUGAGCCCUUCUAAUUUGGUUAGAUCUUCUGCAACUAUGAUUUUCUUCACUUUCAGUGGUGUUGUUAUCGUUGUUCUUGUCAGUGGCAAUCUGUUGUGUUUGUCUUUGAUCAUCAAUAGGAUUGUAGCUACCUAGAAGAUCAUUAAGAAAAGUAGUCUUAUAUGCCUUUUCAUUGUUAGCUUCUCUGUUGUUUUACUGGUCUUUGUAGGGAAAAAUAUCUUCAUAAAAGAUAACAUUUCUACUUAUGAAAAGUUCUCUAGUGUUGAUGUCAAGGAUAAUGAUUCCUUUGACACCAUUCUUGUAACCAAGGAAGAUUUCCUUCCUAGCUCUUGGAUAAAGUUUACCUCUGUUGUUUUCAAGAGUGGAAGCAAAGCAUAGGCAACCAAAAGUUUUUAAAUUCAAAUAAGUAGGGGGGCAUCAUACAUAAGGUCAUCGGGUGUUUUAUUAGUAAGAACAAGGGAAGGCAAUGUAUUUAUUAGGUAAAUAGCGCGACUGACAGCAUAGGACCAAUAAGCAUUAGGCACAUUAGAUUGAAAAAAGAAGGCUACGAGUCACAUUGAGUAUGUGUUGAUGUUUGCGCUCCAUAACAAAAUUAUGUUCAGGAGUUUCAACACAGCUCCUUUGAUGAUUGAUGUCAUGCAAAUCAUACAAGUUAACACAAUUAAAUUCGGGUCCAUUAUUUGAUCUAAUAGUUUUAACAACUUUAUUAAACUGAUUUUUAAUCUUGAUAAUAAAGUUAUGUAACAGAUCUCUAGUUUGGCCUUUAUUGUGCAUUAAAAAGGCUCAAGUAUGUCUGCUAUAGUCAUCAACUAUAGUAAGAAAAUACUUAUGACCAUGAAUAGAGGGACUGUAAAUAGAAGGAAUGGAAAUAGGACCCCGUAUAUCAUAGUGAAUCAUUUCAAAACAUUCAGUGGACAAAGAAGAACUUCUAGAAAAAGGCAAUUUAUGUUGUUUAGCAUAGCGACAAGUAUCACAAACAAUAUUAGGAGUCAUUUGCACAUAAGGAAAACUUUCACAUAUUUGUUUUACAGUUCUGUGUUCUAGAUGGCCUAACCUAUAGUGCCACAAACUUAUUUUUACAUGUUCAUAAGAGAAAACAGAUUUGGAAAUGAAAUCACUGUUAGAGUUAGGAAAAGCUUGUAAGUAGUAGAGACCCUUGUAAGCACUAGCACACCCAAUCAUCUUCAAUGUAGAGUUCUCCCUUAUCUGACACACCUCGGAGGAAAAAGUUGGACUGUAGUUUAAGUCUUUGAUAAGACUUUGAACAUAAAUUAGAUUAAAGGAAAAAUCAGGAAUAUACAAAACAUUAAAGAUAAUAAAAUCUUUAGAGAAUUGAAUAGUUCCUGCAUGUUCAGUAGUGAUAAUAGAGUUAUUUGGGAGUUUGACAGAAAUGGGUUUGAUUUUAUAAAAGGUUACAAAAUUCCUUUUCUCGUGGGUCACAUUAUUAGUGGCCCCAAUGCCAAUGAUCCAAGAAAGGGUACCUUGUUUCUCUUCUGUGUUAUUUUUCUGCAUUUGGUUUACCUUAUGAGCAGAAUCAUCAACCUUUUCUAUCAUUCUGAGAAGUUUUUGCAUCUGCUCUUGGGUAAAAGAAUUGAAGGCAACAUUGGUGCUAACUUAGUUAAUGGGUUGAACAUCCUUUGGGCCAGAGUUGCUUUGGCAGAUGUUGGUAGAAUUCUAGUCAUUCUGGUUCUUUCUGUCUUGAUUAUUGUCAGUUCUUUUGUACCAAGGUGGAUAGCCAUGCUUGGAAUAACAUUCAUUCACAGUAUGAUUCAUUUUGUGGUAGUAGGAGCAUUGUUUUCCAUGGUUGGGAUUUCUCCCUCUUCCUCUUCCUUGGCCACAUGACCCAGCACCACGUCCCUAGUUCUUCCAAUUUGGUCUGGUUUCUAAUUGUUGUUUCUGUCAAUAGUAUUGGCUAGAAUUCUGGUAUCAAAAUUUUCGUUGGCAGUCCUAAUGUCUUGUUUUUCUUAUCUUUCUUGUUGCAUGACAAGAGAGAAUACAUUAUUGAUGUUGGGGAGAGGAUCCAUUAAGAGGAUUUGGGUUCUCACAAUAUUAUAGGUAUCAUUCAGCCCCUUUAAGAAACAUAUAACACGCUUUAUUUCUCUGUACUUAAGAGAAAUCUCUGAGAGCUCACAAUUACAAGGGAUAUCACGCGUACAAGUAGGUAUGGGUCUAAGGGAUUCUGACUCUCCCCAAAGGAUCUUUAAAACUGUGAAAAAUUGACUGACAUUUCUUUCUCCUUGUUUGAUAGAACGAAAGUCUUGGAGUAUAUCAGAAUUUUUGAAAUAGUCACCUUUAGAGAAUCUUUCCUUCAAUGCAUCCCGUAACUCUUUGGCAUCUUCAACAUACACUACACUUUGUGCAAUCUGUGAAGAAAGUGUCUUUAUAAUCCAAGAAAGAACCAUCAUGUUGCAUCUUUCCCAUGCAUCAAAUAAAGUAUCACUUCAUUGAGGUUUCUUGAUCGAUCCAUCAAUGAACUUGAUCUUAUUUUUAAAAAGAAGAGCUCUUCUCAUGCUUCUGCUCCAAGAAGAGUAAUUAAUUUCAUUUAGGACUUGAGAGAUGAGAGUAAGUCCAAGAUUCCAGGAUGUAAAUAGAAAGGAUUGGUAGGAUUGUUGGAUUGAUCUAUGUGGUCCAUCAUAGCAAGAUGUGGCCAAGAAAGCAACAAGAUUGCACAAAGAAAACAAACGGAAAUGAUACAAGCACAACGAAAACAGAGCAGGUAUUAAACCUGCUCUGAUACCAUUUUAAAAACGGUGCUAAAGAGAACUCUCGAGAAGCUCCCAGUCUCGUUAAAGAGAGAAGUGGCCAUGGAGAAACGAAAAACGAAAACCCAAAACAUGAAGAAAGCUAGAAGUAACUGGUAAGAAAACUCAACCUUAGACUUUGUAAUGUCUGAAUAUAAAACUCAUGUUUUGUUACAACUGAUAAGAGAAAAGGAAGAACCCUAUACAUAGGGUUCCUUGGGAAAAAGGAGGAAAACCUAAUUAAUAGAUCUAACUGAUUAAUGUAUCUAGACAAUAAUCUAAUCAAUUAUUUUAGUUUUAAUAUUUAAUUUUUUAAUUAUAUAUCAAAUCGUUUUAAUUUUGAUAAAAUAUAAAGGUAUUCUCAAAAUUUUCUAUGAGCAUUCCGAUAGUCAAUCCAAAGAACCAAGUUUGUAAAAAAAUAAAAAUAAAUAAGCCUCCAGAUCCUAUUUUAAAGUCAAAGUUUAUGUUAUAAUGAUUAACCAAUGAAAAAAGAAAUAGGUAUAAACGGAGUGAAGCAAUAAUUUAAUAUAGGACAUAACAUAACCUCUUUCUUAUAGACUUUCUUAUCAAUUUUUUUCAUAAUUUUUAAAACUGAAAUUUAUUCUCUUUAAAAAAAUAUUAGAUUAGAUUAACUAAUCUGAAAAAAAAAAUUGCAUAGCAAAUUCAUGGUUCAACCAACAUAGAAUGCAGCAGCCUGUAAUUUAUAAGAUAUGCCCAUAAAAACAAUAGUGUUCAUAUCACAAUAUUAUAAUGAAAAAAUGUGUUCUUUAUUGACCAAGAGAAUGUUUGGAGAAAAUUUCAUUUCUCUACAAAACUUCUGAGAAAGAAAAACAAGAUUAACUUUAGUUUAUGAUAUUGAGGUGAUUUUCUUCCUCAAUAUUUCUUACAAGAUAAAACUAGAAAAAAAAAUGAAAUAUUUUGUUUUAUAAACUAAAAUUCUCUUAAACUUGUGGUAUUGUUUCUUUAGUGUGCUUUUAAAAUAAUUAAAUUUUAAUAUAUUAAAAAAUUAUUGAUAUAUUUUAAAAUAUUAAAAUCAAAAGAUUUUGAAAAUCCAAUAAAAUGAUAGCAUAAAAAAAAAACUGAUUAAAGUCACUUCACAUCAUUUCAAUAAUCAUCAAUGAUUUUCCUUUUCUUAUCUUUUCUUUUCUUUCUCAAAAUUGGCUCCCAUCAAAUGAUGGGCAAAGAUUGAUCAUUCUGUAUUAUGUAGAGCUAUGAAAAGUGGUCAGACAGUAAUAUACGGAACAAAGCAUAUGAUAAUUCCAUGACUAUUCUUUCCCACACUCCCAGAAUUAUUAACUGCACCCUCAUAACAAUAGGAAAAGACUUAACCAUCUUCUAUUAAUGCCCUACAUUAUAGUCAUUGUUACAGUCACAAUGCUAAUGCUGCAGAGGAAGAAGAAGGAAGAAAACACUACAAAAGAAAAAAAAAAAAAAAGAGAGAGAGAAAAAAUGCAGAAAAAAAAUCAUUUUGAAAAUAUUUUUCUAGAAUGUAUUUCACUUUUUUCGAAAAAAUCUUUUCAGAAUAAUUUCAUGUGUUCCGGAAGAUAUUAUGAGUUUUGGAAAAUCUUUUCCAAACAUCUCAUUCUGAAAUAUUUAUUUCAAAACACAUUCUGAAAAUUCUGUUUGCAAAAUCACAUUUAAAAAAAUUCAUUCCAAAAAUUCUGUUCAGAAAAUUUUUAUUUCAGAUAUAUUAUUUCAAAAAUUGCAAAAUCUUUAUUCCGGAAAACUUUUGAAACAUAUAAUUUGGAAGUCAUUUUCCAGAGGAUAAAAUGGUUAUUUUAAAAAUUUGUAGGGAUUCAGAAAGAAAGAAAGAAUUUAUGAGGUGCAUGAAGUAAAAGCCUAAUUUCAUAGCUUUUCAGCCCACAUAAGGUUAAUUGGGCUACACAUUUUUUGUUUGCAUUUAUUAUUUGCACGAGCUUAAAUAAUUGAUGACAAAAAUUAUUUUGUCACCCAAUUUUCUAUUUGAUACCCCAAAGUAAAAUUUUGAGUUUUGAGUUUUGAAACCCUUAGCACCAGUUAUGUUUGUCCGUAUGGAGUUUCAUCUACAUCUCAAAUAUCUCAUUCAACACUUUCAAAAAUUACAAUUUUAACAUUCUGAUAUUGAUACCUUUAACUUUUUCAAAAAUUUCACUUUAUAUGUUUUAUCCUACAUCUCCAAUACUUCAUCCUUCUUACAUUUUUUAUUUUUUUAGAAAAUUUCUUUCUUAAUCUUAAUAAAUAUUUUUUUUAACUUUUUUCUCUUUUUUAUUAGAGUAACCAUAUACCUCUUUAACACUGCAUCCUCCUAACAAAUUUUUAAAACUUUGUUUUUUAUUUAUAAUUUAAUAACUAUUUAAUUUAAUUUAAAAAUCUAAUAUAAUUUAGUAUUUUUUUAUAUUUUAAUAAUUAUUAAAAUAUAAUUUAUAUUAUUAUAAUAAUUAUAUUAAAAAAGUUAAAACUAAAAUAAUUAAAAUAAAAGUAAUACAAAUAAGAAAAAGCAAAAAUAAUAAUAUAAAAUCUGAUUUGAUAUAUAUAAAAAUAUUAAAUUAUAUUAAAAUAUUAAAUUAAAUUAAAUUAUUAUUAAAAUUUAAAUAGAAAAUAAAAUUAAAGAAAAGAAUAAUCAUCGAUAUUGGUAUUCGAUACCAUAGUUAUCGAAUUUCCAAUUACGAUAAAAAAGUUUUUAAAAAUUUAUUUUUUAUUUAUAAUUUAUUAACCAUUUAAUUUAAUUUAAAAUUCUAAUAUUAUUUAAUAUAUUUUAUAUUUAAAUAAUUAUUAAAAUAUAAUUUAUUUAGUACAAUCAUAAUAUUAAAAAAUUAAAAUUAAAGUAAUAGUAAUUAAGAAAUCUAAAAAUUUAGAAAUCUUAUUUCAUUAAUUUAAUAUUUUAAUAUAAUUUAAUAUAUUUAUAUAUAUUAAAUCAGAUUUUAUAUUUUUACUUUUAUUUUAAUUAUUUUAAUUUUAACUAUUUUAAUAUAAUUAUUAUAAUAGUACAAAUUAUAUUUUAAUAAUUAUUAAAAUAUGAAAAUAUAUUAAUUAAUAUUAGAUUUUUAAAUUAAAUUACAUAUUUAUUAAAUUAUAAAUAAGAAAUAAGGUUUAAAUUUUUUUUUUAUUAAAAAAGUGUAGAGUUACCCUAAUAAGAAAGAGAAAAGUUAAAAAAUAUUUACUAAGGUCCGAUUUUUUGAAAAAGUUGGAGGUCUAAGGAUCAAACACCCUUGUCCGUAAGUGCCUUUUCAGGUAUCAAAUUUUUUGUUGUUUGAAGUUCUAAAUAAUUAAAUUUGUUAGGGAUCAACUAAGGCUAUUUUAUUCUCUUUCUUUAUGUUUUUCUUAUUUUUAUUUAUUUAUUUUAUUCUCUUUUCCAUCUCGAUUUAUUUUGUUUGUUUGUCUUUCAGUUUUCCCAUUUUGUUCUGACUUUAUUUUAUCCUUUUUACUUUAAUUAAUCCUCUUUAUUGUACACCCUUGUUUGUUAUUUUUAGUUUUUAAUUGAUUCCUUUUUUCCAUCGUUUUCUUAUUUUAUAUUCUCCCUUUCUCCUUUCCUUUCGAAUUUCGAUUCUAUCAUUUUCUACUUCCUUUUCAUUUUAUGCCUUUUAUAACUUUUUCGUAUUCUCUUCCAUCUUUACUUUUCUCUAACUAUUUAUUUAUUAUGAAGCGAAAGAAUACAAGGGAACUAUGGAAUUUUGUAAAAAAAAAAAUUAACUAAUCAAAAUUUCUAUAUUUUGACCAGGGAUAUAUUUCUUAUUAGUUUUAAAAAUAACUUAUCGCAUGAUGGAAUUUUUUUUUCUCCUUAAAGUUUUAUAAUUAAACUAUUUGAAUAGCUCGAAACUUGUUCAUAUAAUUCAAAAGUCUUAGUUAAAUUUAAUAGUAUCUCGACAUGCAAAAGAGUAUUUUAAAAUUCAAAUCCAAUACACCUCAAGAACACGGAAAAAGAAUAUUCGUCACUAGAAAAGAAUUUUCUUAUCGAGAGUUAUUCUUUUCUAUCGUAAUGGGAUAAAAUUUGAAAAAGAUGACCAAUAUACGUGAUUUUUAUAAAUGUUUAAAAAUAAUUACAUAUUAACAUUCGUUUCAUACCUAUUCUGAUCCCUCUUUUCGUGAGAUUUGUUCAAAGUCGUCCUCUUUUUUUUUUUUAAAAAAUUUCAUUAAAGUCUUAUUUUUUUGCAAAAACUUUGAAAGUUAAUCCUUUUUGCUUACGACGUUAAUUUUACUAACGGCAGAGCUGUCCAGCUGGCAAAUAUUUGAUGAGUUGUAAUGUUUUCGUUGUGCUAGCACUGUUAUGUGUUAAAAAAAAAUAAUUAAUUCUGACGUGGAAUUUAGUAAAGUUAGGGUUAAAAUAAAAAUUGAAUUUAGGGUAAUUAAGUAAAGUAAUUUUGGUCAGAAGCAAAUUUGGGUAAAAUUUGCGAUUGGGAUUUUUUGGGCGAUUUAGGGUUCAUCAAGCACCUUCAACAAUCUAGAGAUUUAGGGUUCAACAACCAGCUUCAACAAUCCAGCUUUGUGGUUCGUCCACAACCUUGUUUCGCGAGGUUAGUGUUCUUAGUUACUGAUCGCAUUAUUAAAUGUUUGUCAUUGAUUUAUGAUGUUUGUCGUGUUUAAUAAGUGGAUUGUGUGUUUGUUUUUUAAUGGGUCGAAUUACUUAAAAUAUGAUUUUAUUUGUCGCAAAUUGGGUGCUUAUUGUAAAAGUAGUCAUGUUGGGUGUUGAAAUUGGUCCCAUUGGUGUUAAUUUAUGAAAGUGCUCUCCCUUUCCAUUUGUAGGAUAGGGUUUGGGAUGUGUGACGAUAGGUUUAAGGUGGUGGUCCACCACGGUGGGACCUUGAUAAAAGACGUGGUUCCCUUUAAGUAUAUAGGUGGGGAGAUAUCUUCUUGGGACAUUAACCCUGACACAUGGAGUUUUGGAGUAGUUGCUUCAAUUAAAGAAAUGGGUUACAUGGAAGUAGAAGAGUUAGUUUACACUAUUGAGCAUAUUUUACAUGGCCUAUAUGACGACAUAGGAGCUAUGAAUAUGAUGAAAGUGGCUAAAUGUUUGGGAAAAAUGGACUUAUAUGUUGUGCAUAAAGUUAGCGAAGGAGAGGUUGUAGAAAUUGAGAAUGAGAAUGAAAUUCUUUACCUUUGCCAAGGCCUGCAUAGAGUGGUGAGGGUAGUGGGGAGGAAGAAGUUCAGAUGGAAAAGGAUGUUGUGGAACGUCCUAUUGACUGUGGUGAUAAGUUGGAGACACAUGAUGAAGUGGAGGUUGAGACACACGUGUGGUGGAGGUUAACGAAAAGGGUGUCCUGGAGGUGGAGGAAGUUGGUGCAGUUGAGGUGGAGGAAGUUGGUGCAAUUGAGGUUGAGGAUGUGGGUGCAGUGGAGGUGGAGGAAGUUGGUGCAGUUGAGGUUGAGGAAAUGGGUCCAGUGGAUGUGGAGGAAGUGAAUGCAGUGGACGUUGAGCAAAAAGUUCAAGUGGAUCCUUUGGAGGAAGUAGAAAACAGUGAGGAAGAAGUUGAAGUGGAUCCUUUGGAGGAAGUACAAAUCAGUGAGGAAGAAGUGCAAGUGGAUUCUUUGGAGGAUAGUGAUGAAGAUUACAAGGUGGAAGACAGUGGUAGGGGGUUGUCUGAUGAUGAUUCGAAGUCUGAAAAGCUGUUAACUCCAGAAGGUAGUGGUAGUGAGGAGGAUGACAAUGCGAACAAACCAAGUCGAUGUCCCUUUCCUACAUUUAGAAAGAAAAAGUCCAUGGCAGAUUAUAAAUGGGAAGUUGGUACUAUAUUUAAUGAUAAGGUGGAUUUUAAGGAAGCUAUUAGAAGCUAUGCUAUUCAUACUGGGAGGGAUCUUAAGUUUGUAAAGAAUGAUAAGCGUAGGGUUCGGGUGAGAUGCAUGGGUGGGCAAAAAAAGUGCCCAUGGGUAUUGUGGAUAUUUGCCAACAAGAAAGAUUUGGCAGUUAAGGAAGAUUGUUGAUACUCAUGCUUGCAGCAGGCAACUGAACAUUAAAAUGAUGAAUAGUAAGUGGUUGAGUCAUGAAAUAGAUAAGUCAUUGCAUGAUAAUCCAAGUAUAAAGGUACAAGAUAUACGUAAUAAAGCACUAAGGAAAUGGAACACCAAGGUAUCAAUUUCCAAAGCAAGAAGGACCAAGUUAAUGGCAACAAAUGAACGUGAAGGCGAUUUUGAAGAGUAAUUUAGAAGGAUUCUUGACUACGGACAUGAGGUCUUGAGAAGUAACCCACGGUCAACGGUAAAGAUUAAAGUGAACAGUGAUAAUGUGAGGCCAUCUUUGAAAGAAUUUAUGUUUGUCUCAAAGCAUGUAAGGACAAUUUUAUGAGUUGUAGGCCCAUCAUCUGUUUAGAUGGUUGUUUUUUGAAAGGUCUAUAUAAGGGAUAGCUACUUACCGCUGUUGGUAGGGACCCUAAUGACCAAAUGCUACCCCUUGCAUAUGCAAUAGUUGAAGUUGAAAAUAAAGAUAGUUGGAGUUGGUUUUUGCAAUUAUUGGUUGAAGACCUUGGGGGUAAUGAAAUAUGUGGAGCGUGCACGUGAAUGUCUGACCAACAAAAGGUACAUGCACUACUUACAUUAUUUUAUUCUUUUUACUUUAUGCUUUAUGUAUGUUUGAUUAAAAUAUUGAUGUUGUUAGGGGUUGGUACAAGCUAUUGAAGAGCUUUUGCCUAAGGCAAAACAAAGAUUCUGCAUCAGGUACCUUUAUGCUAACUUCAGGAAGCGGUUUACUGGUCAAAUAUUGAAGAAUUUGAUGUGGAGGGCUACCACAAGCACGUACCCCCAGGUAGGGCUGGGCAAAUAUAACUGAUCUGUACUGUACUGCAGUUAACUGUACUAUAUUAUACUAAAAAUAAUUGAACCACUUUUACUAACAGUUCAGUAUACUAUUUCAUGGUUCAGUUUUUAAAAACUGAACUUAUAACAGUUACAAUUCAGUUAACUGUAAGAACUGUAUCUACCCUUAUUAUAUCUUUUCUAGUUUCAGUUCAAUUGUUUCAUCUUGUCAAGAAAACUUUAUUUAAUAAUAAAAUAUUAAUAAAAAAAUUGUUCACAUAAAAAAAAUAAUUAAUUUUUUAAGACAAUUUUUUUAUCACAAAAUUUAUAUUUUUUAUCAAUAAAAAUAAAAAAUAUAAUUUAUAUUUUUAUAUUUUUAAGUUAUAUAUAUAUAUAUAUAUAUAUAUAUAUAUAUAUANNNNNNNNNNNNNNNNNNNNNNNNNNNNNNNNNNNNNNNNNNNNNNNNNNNNNNNNNNNNNNNNNNNNNNNNNNNNNNNNNNNNNNNNNNNNNNNNNNNNNNNNNNNNNNNNNNNNNNNNNNNNNNNNNNNNNNNNNNNNNNNNNNNNNNNNNNNNNNNNNNNNNNNNNNNNNNNNNNNNNNNNNNNNNNNNNNNNNNNNNNNNNNNNNNNNNNNNNNNNNNNNNNNNNNNNNNNNNNNNNNNNNNNNNNNNNNNNNNNNNNNNNNNNNNNNNNNNNNNNNNNNNNNNNNNNNNNNNNNNNNNNNNNNNNNNNNNNNNNNNNNNNNNNNNNNNNNNNNNNNNNNNNNNNNNNNNNNNNNNNNNNNNNNNNNNNNNNNNNNNNNNNNNNNNNNNNNNNNNNNNNNNNNNNNNNNNNNNNNNNNNNNNNNNNNNNNNNNNNNNNNNNNNNNNNNNNNNNNNNNNNNNNNNNNNNNNNNNNNNNNNNNNNNNNNNNNNNNNNNNNNNNAACAGUUCAGUUCAGUUUUUCUGAACUGUUUUACAGUUCAGUUCAGUUUGUCUGAACUGUUUUACAGUUCAGUUCAGUUUUUAGCAGUGCAGUACAGUUCAGUUCGAUUUGUUCACCCCUACCCCCAGGCUUGGGAGAGAGAGAUGUUGAAUAUGAGAGCAGUGAAUGAGGAAGCAUAUAAAUACCUCAUAGCCAUUUCCCCAAGGUAAGUUAUGUAUGAUAACCCAGUUUGAUGUGGAGGGCUGGCACAUGCACAUUUCAAUACGUCAUGUAUGAUAACCAAGUUUCUUCCUUCUUCUGCUACAGGUUUUGGUCAAGAUCUAGAUUCACAGCUCAAGCAAGUUGUGAUAGUCUAGAUAACAACAUCAGUGAAGGUUUCAACAGUGUUCUCAUUCAUGUCAGAGGAAAACCAAUCAUCACCAUGCUGGAGGAUAUUAAACUGUAUUUGAUGAAAAGAAGGGCCACCAACAAAACGAAGGUGGCAUCUAUGGAUUUCAAUGUUUGUCCAAAGAUCAAGAAGAGACUAUUAAAGGAAUCUAAUUUCUCUAGAUAUUGGAUCCCAAGGUAAUAUUGUUCUUCUGUCUUAUUUAUGUUUAUCUCCAAUUUUUGAAGAUAGUUAUUUAUGUUUAUUUGUUUCAGCUGGUCUGCAAAAAGGAUUUUUGAGGUUAGGCAUGUUUCAACUAUUGGGAACAAGUUCAAAGUGGACCUGGAUACUCAUGAAUGUAGCUGCAGGAAGCGGAUGAUCAGUGGCAUCCUAUGUUGCCAUGCAGUAGCAGCGACGCACUUUAUAAAUUUAGACCUAGAUUCUAUACCAACUUGGUUCAUGAAAUCGACAUAUGAAGAGACAUAUGCAUCCACCAUUUAUCCUGUGAAUGACCACCUCCUAUGGGAAAAUACAAGCUUCCCUGAUGUACUGCCACCAGUUAAGAGGAAGCUGCCUGGGAGGCCAAAGAAAAAAAGAAGAUUGGAGCCAUGGGAGCUAACCAAGGAUGGGACCCAGAUGAGUGUUAGUGGCCAUAGAAAGAAAUGUAGCAUCUGCCGUCAAUUGGGGCACAACAAAAAAGUCUGCCCUUUACGUCCAACCAUCAUAGAACCAACAGAAACAACACAACCAUCAGAAGCACAAAGUACAGAACAACCAGCAAGUCAACAAUCCCCAGCCACAACUACCAACUCAAGAUUCAAUCACAGAUUCAACUCCACCAAUAGCAAAGAAAAAUUUAACUAUUAGAAAGAAAUGUAGCAUCUGCCAUCAAUUGGGGCACAACAAAAAAGUCUGCCCUUUACGUCCAACCAUCAUAGAACCAACAGAAACAGCACAACCAUUAGAAGCACAAAGUACAGAACAACCAGCAAGUCAACAAUCCCCUCAGCCACCACUACCAACUCAAGAUUCAAUCACAGAUUCAACUCCACCAAUAGCAAAGAAAAAGUUAACUAUUAGAAGAAAAGUUGCAUAGAUUUAACUAAUAAUUUGGAUGACAACACUUUAGUGACACUACUUUAAUUUGGAUAUACAUGUAUGAUAACACUUUCAUUAUAUCUUUGAUAUUUGGAUUUAGAGAUGUUAUGUAUGACACUACUUUAAUUUGGAUGUACUGAUAUUAUGUAUGACAGUACUUUAAUUUGGAUGUACUGAUAUUAUGUAUGGCAGUACCUUAGUUUGGAUGUACUGAUAUUAUGUUGUGUUUAUGUUGUUUGUAUGUUCAUUUAGGUUUCCUUACCAUGUAUGACAAUAAUCUCCAUUAAGGGAGCGUCUUGCACAAUUUUUUAGUAAAAGGGGGACCACAAUAAACAUUUUUAAACCAUAAUGAGGACCGUAAUAAACAUUUUUAAACCAUCAUGAGGACUACAACGAAUUUUAUUACAAGAACCCAGAUUGUUCACUGAUAUUACAAUGCCAACUCAUAAUACAUGAACACAGCAUACUUGCACAUUGGUCACCUAACAUCAACCUUAACACAACCACAAUAUGAUAAUGUUAAGUACAAUAAGAACAAACAUAACUCCAACUAAGAACUUUAUCCUUCUCUGCAACUCUUUGACAUUACUUUCGAGAUUAGUCGUCCUCUUGCUUUGCCUCUCAUUUGUACCAUCUCUAUCAUCAGCCUUCUCUUCACAACACCAGUUGAAAAAGUUACAUGACAUCUGAUGGGUGUCGCCGCCCAAUCAAAUUUGAUUGCAUAAUAAGAAAUGCAGUAUAGCUAGGGAAUGACUCCUAGGUCGUCUCCCAAGGACCAACUGCGGUUCAAGAAUUAGGUCUAACACAUAGUGGGGGGGUUUGAAAUGUUCGUAAUUGCAAAUGACGAAAUUAAAAUGAAAAUUAAACACACCAAACAUAAUUAAAAAUCAUUAAAAUGAACACUAGAAUUAAAAUAAAAAUAAAGAUAAAAGAUAAAUCACUAAAAAAAAUAACAUGCUUGAUGAACCAUUUAAAUGCAAUGGAAAUAAAAUACCAAAUGGGUGACCAAUUGAGAUGCACGGAUGAAUCAACUAAUGCAAUUACUUGGAAUCUAACGGCUGGAAUAAAACAAACAACGUUGAUAAUAACUAAAUUGCAAGUGCAUCAUAAAAUAUUUAAAAGGCAAUAAAGGAAGUGUGAGCACCGCUUCAUUAAAGAAAAAGCAAAUAUUAUUCUAGAAUCCUGAUACAAUUGCAGCAACGUGUUCAUCCAAAAUUUCCAUCAAAAAGAAAAAAAAUAAAAUCCCGUGACAGCAGCUGUGUGCAUCCUCAAUCAAUAUGCUUCUUACUAACUUUAAUCAUCAUGUAAAGAAAAGAAAAUGAAAAUACAUCCAUUCAUUAGACAAAAUGCCAAAGCAUAAAACAACAUUUCAAAGCUUAUCUUUCAAGUGUUUAAAAGCAAAAGCCAAAAUAAAAAGAAAACUUGGUGUAGCGGCUGCACCAGCGUAAUGAAUCCUCCAGCCAAGAACCANCACCUUCUUCCAUUCCACCGUGACAACCACUUGUUUCUUCUAGCACCGUGCAGCUCACAUUCAUCCAAAAUCCAAUAAAAUAAACAUGGUUCCAAGAAAAACUUUGUAAAAGAAAAGGGUUCAAGCUAUCCUCCCUUGCGUCUCUCCGCUAGAAUCCCCCCUGACGGCUGUUGUCCUAGGAAUAUAUGGAGCCAAUCCCGAGACCACAGUGCCCUACUGCCAGCGUGGAUAAGAAAAUCUGCCCCUCAUUCCCUGCUACUGGGCUGUUGAGUGCACAUGGGCUGCUACCCCUCAACGUAGCUGGAUGUCACUCCCUUGAAGAAUGAAGGAGCUGCUGUGUGCACCCCUUCUGUCAAUGCUCACAUGGGCUGGCUGCUGCAGUGUGAAGGUUGCAUGGAGUCCUGGGCUGAGAAGCUCCUGUGGCUGCUGCAGGAUCAACGUAUGAGAUCAGAUGAAGCCCUCAUCAUCAUGUGUUGGGCUGCCACCUCCUAGCUUGAUGGAUGCGUGAAGGGAUCUGCACCAGGCCGUGAUGGUGGACCAAGGCUGUUGCUGUACCGAGCUUGCGAAAUGAACUUGGACGUGUGAAUGCAAAAUGGAGUGCAGGCCAAAAUCGUGACUUCAUCAGCGUGGGCUGCUGUUCGUGCGCGUCUUCAAGCAGCUGGAAGUUAAUGAAGGCUGGAUCAGGUUUAUUGAUUUCCUUGUUGCACCGUGAGAUAGCAGCCAAAAGUUUGUGCUGGACCAGCUCAAUCAAGCGCCGCUUCAAUCUGGGCCUUCGUGAAGCAUAGAGGUGUGGGCAGCAAUCUUCCAAGCUGGGCCCGCUGCUGUCUUCUAUGUGCUACAUUCUCAAAGAUGCUGAUGCUUCUUCGUAAAGGCUACGUGCUGCAGCCCGUGAUGGAACUGCUGUUUGUUGCUUCUAGGGGCUGCUGUGUGCAGAAGCUGGGCCGUGAAGGAGCUGGACCAAUGUUGCUGCCAUGUGGGAGCUGCUGGGGCGUGUAUAAUAUAGGCUGCAACACCACUUCUCCAAAUGCUAGGUGUGACAACGUGUUGAAGCUUGGGCCGUCUAAGUGCAUGGGCUGCAUCUCCAAUCUUAAAAGAAAUUAAAUGUUACCAUGACCAUGGUGUGUGCAUGGAAGUAUGGCAGCUGGUGGUGCAAAAAUAAAUUUUCUUCUGGAACGUGUAUGUCCAAAUCUAAAGCAAUCAAUGCCUCUCACUUCUUUUGCUGGACCUGCAAAGCCUCAUGUGCACCCCCAAUUUUAAUGUGUUGCACCCUCUUCUCAUAUGCCCCAAAGGAUAAAAUGACCAAGAUGCCCAACGUCUUGUGCACACUUCUUUUAUGAAGAGCCUUGAAUUAUGUGACAACCCUCAAUAUGACCAAAAUUAUAUUUCCAAAAUUUUCCCUAAAAAUAAUAAUGCAAAUAAUUAGCUCAGAAGAUUCAAAUUAAUUAAAAUUAGAAUUUCCGAUCAAAUUAAGCACAAUUAGGAAAAACGGGAAAAUACCGGACAUUUAAGCACAAUUCCCUGAUUAAAUUCGGUACAAUAAACUAAGUGCAGUCAAUAAAAUAUCGACUCAUCAACAUCCCACUUGUAAAUGCACCCUAUUAUUCAGGAAAAACACAAAAAUGUGUGAACAUAGAAAAUCAAUUGAACAUAAAAGUGACUAUGCUAUUAAAAAAACCUUGUAAUAACGACAUGCCCAAAAUUGUCUCCCAGCAUUCCUAGCAGUUUUCGCAACUUUCAUUACAGCAAAAUCACCACAGUGGCAAAUAGGGGUUAUCCCAACUCCCCUCGAAACAGCACCGUGUGAUGAAUGCGAAACUCUUUGGCCGUUGUCUUCAAACAAGAACCACAACUUUGUAUAGAAGUCAUUCCUAACCCUAACCCUAAGCUUUUAAAUUUGGAAAAGUCUAAACAAAAUCACCAAAAACCCUAACCUUUGCUUUUAAAUUUGGGAACAACAACCAUGAAUCACUUUUCUAACGGGAUGAUUUAGCAAUGCAGUCUAACACGUCAAAUGUAUUUGUACAACUCAUCAAAUAUUUGCCAGCUGGAGAGCUCUAUCGUUAGCAAAAUUAACGCCGUUAGCAAAAAGGACUAACUUUCACAGUUUUUGCAAAAAGUAGGACUUUAGUGAAUUUUUUAAAAAAGAGAGGACGACUUUGAACAAACCCCACGAAAAGGACUAAAAUAAGUAUUAAACCUUAAAAAUAGUAUCUCGAUAUGCAAAAGAGUAUUUUAAAAUUCAAAUCCAAUACACCUCAAGAACACAGAAAAUGAAUAUUCGUCACUAGAAAAGAAUUUUCUUAUUGAGAGUUGUUCUUUUCUAUCGUAAUGGGAUAAAAUUUGAAAAAGAUGGCCAAUAUACGAGAUUUUUAUAAAUGUUUAAAAACAAUUACAUAUUAACAUCCGUUCUUUUUUUUUUUUAUUUAACAUUUAUGAAUAAAAGAUUAAAACUAUAUAAUUGUUAUAAGAUGCGUUAACCUUCUUCUCUAUCUUGCAGUAGUGCUUUUUUCUCUUCUAACUCUUCCUCACCUCUCAUAAAUUCCUUUCCAUGGAUAACGGCUCCUCAUCAUACAAACUCCCACGGAAGUACGAUGUGCUCAUCAACUUCACUGGAGAAGACAUAAAUAGAAAAUUUGUUUCUCAUCUCAAUUCUGCCAUCUCUACGGUUGGUCUCACCACUUUCCUUCACCAUCACAAUGCAAUAGAGUCAACUCACAUCCAACAACCUAUUCUCAGCCACUGUCGGGUAGCAAUUGUUGUUUUCAACCAAACCUAUUCUCAAUCUGCUUGGUGUCUUAAUCAGCUUCUACAAAUCAUCGACUGGCACGAAACUUAUGGCCGACAUGUUCUGCCCGUAUAUUAUGAAAUCCAGCCAUCUGAUGUACGUCUUCAGAAGGGUGACUUUGGAAAAGCCUUUAAGGCAACUGCUCAAAAAACAUUUUCAGGACAAGAACUGGAGCAUGGCAUGUCCAGAUGGAGCCAUGCACUCACUAAAACUGCAAAUUUCUUUGGAUGGGAUGAGAGCAAUCAUAGGUACAUCACUCACUCAAUCAACCAUCUUUUAAUCCUCGGAUUUAAUUUUGUUAAUACAUGACUUCUUUUUGAAGGAGUGAUGCUGAACUAGUGGAGAAAAUUGUUAAGAGCGUUCUUAAUUUACCAGUCUUAUCUGCUACUAAAUUUCCAGUUAGAUUACAAUUAUACGUCGAAGAUCUGAUUCGAACUAUCAAAACUAAAUCCACGGAAACUUGUAUAAUAGGAAUAGGUGGAUCGGGAGGAUAUGGUAAAACCACUCUUGCCAAAGCCAUUUACAAUCAAAUUCAUGGGACAUUCAAGAAGAAAAGUUUCAUUGAAAAUAUUUCACAUGUUAGGGGAAUAAGAGGGCUUCUUGGUUUACAAGAACAACUUCUUUUAGAUGUCCUAAAACAAAAGGUGGAGAUUCCUAGCGUUGAUGUGGGAAGAACUAUGAUUCGGGAAAGACUUUUAGGAAAAAGGGUUCUCAUUGUACUUGACGAUGUUUCUUACUUUAGUUUAUUCGACUUAUGGGAUUGUCGUAAAUGGCUCGUUGAAGGAACUGUAAUAAUCGUAACACAUGAAAUACCGCUGACAGGUCAAGUUAAUUUUGUCUUUUGGUUAGAACCAAUGAACGAAGAGGAAUCCCUUGAGCUUCUUAGUUGGCACGCAUUUAGAGAACCAAAACCAAAAGAAGAAUACGAAGACCUUGCAAGAAGUGUAGUUAGUUAUUGUGAAGGACUACCGCUGGCUCUUGAAGUCGUUGGAAGUUGUUUAUUUGAAAAGACGAAAGAAGAAUGGAACACUUUAUUAAUUAAAUAUGCGAUAGUUGGCAGGCAUCGUGUUUCAGAGAUAAUAAAAGUAAGCAUCGAAGGUUCAAUCAAUGAAAUGGAGAAAGAUAUAUUCCUUGAUAUAUGUUGUUUCUUUGUUGGUAAGAGCAGAGCCUAUGCUACGAAGAUCCUAAAUGGCUGUGGAGUAGACGCUGAUAUGGGAAUAAGAGUUCUCAUCCAGCGUAACCUCAUCAAAAUUAACAACAACAACAAAUUUGGAAUCCAUCCUUUGCUACAAGAAAUCGGAGUACAAAUUAUUCGUGAAAAUUUAGAAACAGAUCAUGAGAAGAACAGGCUGUGGUUUGAUAAGGAUGUAAAACAUGUAAGAAUAUUCUUUACGUGUGGCUUGAAACUUCUUUUGAAAGCAUUUACUUUGUCCUGUGCACAUUUGUUUUUAUUUGGAAUUUUCUUCACAGGGGACAAAAGCCAUGCAGUGGUUGCCUGUCAAUGCCUACGGUAGUGCACAACCGACUGUAAAUUCUGACUACCUUCUUAAGAAACUAAGAUGGAUCAGUUGGCAUGGGCUUUCUUCAGAACGUCUACCUAACAACUUUUAUGAGCAUAAUGCAAUAGCUAUUGAUUUAAAACGCAGUCUUCUUCGAUUUCUCUGGAAAACACCCCAGGUUUUAUUACCACCCACUUCUCCUUAAAAUACAACUUUAGUAAAAUAAAUUAGUAGCUUGCUAUUACUUCAUUUUUAAUUUGUAGUCUAAUAUUUCUAAAAUGAAAAACUAUCUUGGUGUAGGUUUUGAGAUCGCUAAAAGUCCUUAACCUCAGUCACUCCAAGCAUUUAACUACAACCCCUGACUUUACCGGAUUACCAAGUCUUGAACACCUCAGUUUCAAAUAUUGUUCAAGAUUACGGAAACUACACCGAUCUAUUGGAUCACUCAACAGUCUUAUACUGCUAAAUUUGAAAUACUGUACAAGUCUAAACAAUCUUCCGAAAGAGAUAUAUGAGUUGAAAUCUUUAAGAACCUUCAUUCUCUCUGGUUGUUCCAAGAUUCACAUAAUGGAUAAAGAUAUAGCAAAGUUGGAAUCCUUGAUAACUCUAAUUGCCGAAAAUACAGCUGUGAAAGAAGUGCCUUUUUCAAUUGUAAGCUCAAAAAGCAUUGGAUAUAUAUCCCUACCUGGAUUUGAGGGAUUAUCUCAUAAUCUUUUUCCUUCCAUCAUUCGGUCUUGGAUAUCCCCAAUAAUGAAUCCCAUCUCUUAUAUUCAUUCGUUUUGCAUGGAUACUGAGGAUAAUACGAUUGAUAUUGCACCGUUGCUUAGCACCCUUGCAAAUAUUCGAAGUGUUUUGGUAGCAUGUGACACCGAUUUUCAAUUAUCUAAGCAAGUCAAAAAUAUUUUGGAUGAAUACUUUUCGAGUAUUACAAAAUCAGGAAUUUCAAAGCAGCACUUGAGGUGUUCUUUGAUUGGUGUUGGAGCAUACCAUCAAUUCUUCAAUGCUGUCAGGGAUAACAUAUAUGAGGUUCUUCUCUAGCUUUGUCUUUGUUUCUUACUUUCACUAUCAUUUUAGCUAUUAAUCAAGAGAACAUAAGAUAAUCCUAAUGAAAUAUCUUACUGCUACAAUAAUCAAUUUUAUCACGUUUAAUUUCUAUUGCCAUAGAACCUCAUCUAGAGAUUUCUUAUUUUGGUAAUCAACUAAGCAAGUGAUUUUUCUUUUAUUUCAAUACUUUCUUACCUUACUUUACUGGUUUCACGAUUGUUAUAUUUCCAAUCGUAGUAGAAAUAUACCAAAAGAGACAAAAUCAUAAAUUGUAAAUCACUGACGACGUAAUGAUGAUACAUACAGUAUAAAACUAUUAAUCAGAUUUGUUUAGAUUAAUUACCAUCGGUAUGUUUUGAUUAUGUACUGGAUUGUUGUUUGCUUGAUUAUAAAUGCCCACUUUGUAAUUAUUAAUGUUAAAAUAAUGAUAAUAGAAGACAAUUUGAAUAGAAAAAUAUGAUGCAGGUAUUGGCAAACAGUGAGUCUGGUGAUGUUUGUCUCCCAGCAGUCAAUGAUCCUUAUUGUUUGGCCCAUAUGGGUGAUGGACACUCUGUUUCUUUCAUUGUGCCUCAAGAUCGUUACAUGAAAGGAAUGACUUUGUGUGUUGUUUAUUUAUCAAACCCUGAAGCCAUUGAACCUCAAUUUACUACUGUCGUAGUUAUUAACUACACAAAGUGUAGAUUCCAGAUACACAACUAUGGCACAGUCAUUUCCUUUAAAGAUGAAGAUUGGCAUGACAUAAUUUCAAAUUUAGAAUCUGGAGACAAGGUGGAGAUUUUUGUGAAUUUCGGCAAUGGAUUGGUGGUCAAGAACACCACGGUGUAUCUGAUAUGUGGUGAAUCAAAGAACAUGAGAAAAGCCUUUGAGCCAAAGAAACAUGGUCUCAUUAGAUUCGUAAAGAAAGUUGUAAUGUGACUUCUGAUAAAUCAUUUAUGUUCUUUGAGAACAGCAUGAUCACUUUAGUGAUGGAAAUAAUCUUACUGUUCUUGUUCUUCAUUACUAUUUAUAUAUUCCUAUCCUUUCCUUGUUUUUCUUUAGAGUAUAGCUUACAGUUAAGAAUUUCAUUUGUGUUUUGUAAGCUAUUUUAAUUUAUCAAAUCAUACAUGAUCUUAAAUUUUAUGAUUCUUAUAAACUCUCAUAUACAUAAAUACGAAGGAAAAAAAUUAACUAUAUCUAUUGCAAAGUUUCCGAGGUAGACAAUCUCCAUAAAAUUAUAGAGAUAAGGAAAGAGAAAUAAUUUUUCCAGCUUUCUCUUUUCAUUCAUUAUGCUGAAAUAAAUAUGCGUAUUGGUUACCGAUCAUUCGCAUAGAAACUAACAAUAGAUAUUCUCUUAAUAGAAUUUAUGAUCAAUUGACACCUCACAAAGAUAUCUUUAUAAUAUGAUUCUAUUAAAUUCCUUCCUCAAUGAUAAUCCAAAAGAUAUUGUGAUUUCCUACUCUUCCUUUUAGUUAGUGUGGUGCUAAUAGGCCUUGUAUUGGUCCAAUUGCCAAGAUGCAAAGCUACUAGGCUCCUUCUGCUAACAAAGUCUUAGAAUAAAAGCUUUGGAAAAAAAUGAGGAAGAAGAAUCUCAUAAUAGAUGUUAAAAAUUGCCUUCCAUGAGUGUUAAUUUUAGAAUAUAGAUAUAAUGCAUUUCGUCAAACACAUAUGAGACUUUAUUUUCGUGUUUAAAAUGUUUUUUCUUAAUAAAUAUCCAAAUUCAUUAGUUUCUGAAACACCAUGCUUGUACUUUAUAAAAAUAAUUAGAUUUUUAAUUAUACAUCAAAUCAUUUUAAUUUAUGAUAAAAAAUAAAGGUAUUCUCAAAAUUUUCUAUAAGCAUUCCGACAUUCAAUCCAAAGAACCAAGUUUGUACAAAAAAAAUACCUACAGAUCCUAUUAUAAAGUCAACAAUGAAAAAAAAUAUAUGUAUAAACGGAGUGAAGCAAUAAUUUAAUAUAGAACAUAACUUUUUUCUUAUAGACUUUCUUAUCAAUUUUUCAUAAAUUUUAAAACUGAAAUUUAUUCUCAUUAAAAAUAACAUUAGAUUAGAUUAACUAAUCCGAAACGAAUAAAGUAAUUUUCCGUUCACUCUAGAUCUAUCAUAUUUAUUAAUUGUUUAGACUAGAUUCCAUUCUUUCAUAAUUCAUUCUAAUUUCCCUUCCAAAGUCAAAGCAAAAGUAAUAAUAAUUUUUCAAUUUUUUAUUAUGAUUAAGAAAUUAAAAGCAGUAUUCAAAUAUGCAUUUAAUAAGAGUAAUUUGUUUACCUUUUGAAAAUCAAGAAAAAGUUGUGUUAUUAAGAACCUAGAAAAUAGUGUAUUAGAGUAUAUAUAUAUAUAUCUUAUAAUGAGGUGUAUUAAAAUAAUGAGACCGGAUAUUUUAUUUCAAAAUAAUCUUAUAAUAUAAAUAGACUUUUAUAAAGCUCGUCUCAUUAAAAACACUGUUUAUUUCUUUAAACUUUUUUCUCUUCGUUCUCUCUAAUUUUUCUCUACAAAUUCUUACUCUUCGACAAUUUGUUUGACGAUCAGGAAGUGUCUAAGUGAUCCUGACAUCGAAGGCUACGAUUUUUACCGAUCAAUUUCUCGUUUUGAGCGGUAAGAUUCGUUCCCUAUUUUUAGGUUUUCUCUUAAAUAUGUGAUUAUGCAGACUUUCUGUCUUGCAUGAGAAUUGUAUAUCUCUUUCUUGACUCUUAACUCAAUUUAGGUUCUAGGAUUUUCUAGAUUUUCCUUACGGUGCAAGCAUCUGUCGGAGUUUCUGUGAGUUGUGCACAAUUUGAUUAAGGUAAGGGAAGCUAGAGUUUCGCUUUAAUUUAGUAAAUUGAUAUGUAUGUGUGUAAAUUCUUGGUUAUCUUGUUGUUUGAAUUAAACUUAGGCUCUAGAAUAAUUGGAUCAUGUGUGAUUGGAUUGUUUUGGAAUGUGCCUUUGAUGAAAUGUGAAAAAUGAAUUGAAUUGGAUGAUGAUUGAUAUGUUAUGGGCUGUAUGGAAUGUUAGAAAUUGUGAUAGAGUUGGUUAGUUGAUAAGAAAAUCAUAUUUCCAAAGUUUUAAGGGUAGUUUUGAGGACGUGAAGUAGUGAAAAUGUGAAAUAGGGGUUAGUUGACCAAGUGGUCCAUUAGGAUAGUUUGAUCAAGUAAUUUAGGACUUGUUAGAGUCCCUAAGUUACUUAAAAUAGUGUCAAAAGUGGUAGAAUUUAAUUUGGAUCCAUAAGUUGAUGAAUUGUGUGUUUUGAAGUGGGAAAUUGUUAGAAAUCAAUUUAGAAUGAUGGUAGUAAUGUUUAGAAGCACUUGUUCAAGUCUAAUUAGGUGUAUAACACGAUUUGGGGUGGUUUGAAGUUGGGAAAAAUAGUUAGAAUUGGUAAAAAAAAUUGGUAUAGGUUGUAUAAGUCUGCAUAAUUGGUGUUGUAGAUUAUGUAGACUCGCUAAGCGGAUGGAGUUGCUCAACGGGUUGUUGUAGAGGUUGGUUUUCUGCAGGAGGACCUUUGCUUAGCGAGCGGGUGUGCUGAGCAAAUGGUUGAGGUCUGGGAGCACUGUCAGUUUUAUUCGGAUAGCUAGUGGAGUCGUUCAACGAGUGGUUGUUGAUAAUGACAUAUUUUACCAUGAUUUCAGUGAUGAAUCAAGAGAAAAUGUCAACCCUUUCUUAACUUUAUACCUUGUAAAUCCUAGUUUUCUUUUAGGUUGUUAAAUGGUUGCACCCCAAGUUUUAAUGAGAUAUUUUGUUCACUAAUCCUUGCUUUCAUGUGCUUAAUGGAAUUGGAAGAAGUCUAUGCAUCAAAUGAAGGCACUGGAAACCAAGAAAAGCAAGAAGAGCAACAAAAAUGAAGAACCAUAAUUUUGUUGAAAUCAAGCUCGGGACCCCUGGCCUAAGGGGGCUUGAGUGCCAGUGCACCAGUUCCUGAGUCUGACUGUCGUGCACCUGAGCGUCCAAUUUUUGGGGGGCUUGAGCGCCAACUUUGCUGACAUGGCAGAUUUGCCCUAUUUCACUUGGAUGCACGAAGAUCUUUGGAUCUUUUGCAAACCAGACACAUUUUCUCUGCUUGGGAGCUCUUGGAGACGAGCUAGGAGCUGUGGGAACAAUCCUUCUUCAUCCUUGGGUUCUCUUCUUUCUUCCAUUUCCACCAUUGUUGUAAGCUUGAGCUCUCCAUUCAUGGAGAGCUAGUUUUAUUAUAGUUGGGAGAUUGUUGUAGCCACUGAACUCUUAUGUAAAUCACUUUGUUUUGAAUGAAUAUAUGUCUCUUUCAUCGAUUGUUAGUAUUUAACUCCUUCUCUUAAUGCUUGUUGUGAAGUAGCUACCCAUGACUUGAUUUUAGGGUUUGCUUAAUAUUGGGAAAUGUUGAGUAAAUCCGGACUUGGGUUAAACACCUAAAGGAAAUAGUGUCUAGGCAUAGAACUAGGACCUUUGGUUGUCUUAAAAUCUCGUUUCUUAAUGCGGGUGAACUUGUUAGGUUGCCAAGGGAUUGGAAUUUAAUAAGUGAAUCUAGGCUCUUUCUACCAAGGGAUUGGGGUUUGAGUAAAUUAGUAGAUUGAUAUUGACAUAUUAAUGAAGAGGAAGUGAUUUUAUUUGCAUAAGAGUGAAGUCGGUGAAAGCAUACCCCCAACAAUACCAUUCCAUUUCAUUUCUAAUCUUACCAUUUCCAAGUGUUUGAAUGCUUAAGAUCACUUUUAUCAUUUAUGUUUUAUAGUUACUUUAAUUGAACAAAAAUUCACACUAAAAGGGAAUCAUUCUUUAGCUUAAAUUAGUUAGUAAUUAUACGAUAGUAAAGUAGUAACCGAGUCUCUUGGAAAACGAUAUCCGGUCUUACCGAUUUUACUACUUGCACGAUUUGGUACGCUUGCCAAAGUCACAACAGUUGUAGAGAUUGGUUUUCUGUCUAAGGACUUUCGAUCAGCGAGAGGGUGCAUUGAACGAAUGGUUGAGGUUUGGGAGCACUCUUAGUUUUAUUCGGAUAGCGAGUAGAGUCACUCAACGGGUGGUUGUAGAGGUGGGUUUUCUGUCUGAGGACUUUUGCUCAGCGAGAGGGUGUGUUGAGCGAGUGGUUGAGGUCUGGGAGCUUUAUUCGUAUAGCGAGUGGAGUCCCUCAGCGAGUGGUUGUAGAGGUUGGUUUUCUAUUUGAGGACUUUCGCUCAACGACAGGGUGUGUUGAGCAACUGGUACUAGUAGUGAUGUAUGUUUUUCUUUUUGUUUAUGUUGAUGCAAUUAGAGUUUUGAUUAGUAUGUUGGGUGAUGCAUUCUUGUGAAUAGACAUAUUUUACUUAGGAAAUAUGAGUAUUGAACUUAAACCUAUGACUCAGGGUGAGAUUCAUGAAAGUAAUUUGGUUGAAGUUGUAGUUGUUAGGGUAUGAAUGUAUGGAGCUUUGAAAUGGUAGUAUAUUCUGACACUCUAACGAUCAUUAAAUUCUCAAAUAGAGAGGAAUGAUGCACGUGGUGAGAGUAGUGGGAGGUUCUUGUUAUAAGCUUUGAAAUUAGCCUGGACAAACCUUGUAUGGUGUUGGAGAGUGUCAACAGUACCAUACAAGUGCACAGACUACAAAUAGUUCAACAUUCAUAUCCAAUCCGGAUGAGUCUUGUAGAGUACGAGAUGUUUGGAGUGAUCGUAGUGUAUUUUGUCCUCUUGAAUUGAGGACUGAGAUUUGUUUAAUUACUUGAUUUAAUAUGAUUCUUUCUUGUUUACCUAGCUUACCCUUCUUUUUUGUUGUGUCAAUUGAAUGUUUUUGCAUUAUUCUUCGUGGCAAUGAUCAUCUGAUGGAUGUGAGUAGAGGGCGAAGAGAUAUCUGUGGAGCAGGCUCUUGAUGACAGAGGUGCUGCUGAGUAGAGUAGUUUUACGUUAGUUUUACAAAUAGUUUUGAGUUAUGCAAUUUGUAUAUAAGGUUUUGAACUUAUAGUUGUUUUUGGAUAACUGGAAGUUGAAUUCUAUAUUUUAGCUACAAGUGUUAUAUCAUAUCAGUUGUGAUGACUCUAUUAUAUAGUUUUAUACUAUAUUUUUGGAAUGUUACAAUCAAAUAUGGUUCACUAUCAGAAAUUGAUUUUAAGAAUAUAAAUUUAAUCUAAAUACAUUAUUCGUUAUGUAAAUAUAACAUUUUGACUAAAAUUAAUUAUAUGAAACUGAUUAUUACCUUUUAAUGAAAUUUUGAAUGAUAAUUAUUAACCUUUUACAACUUGAUUUCACACCAUUGGCAAGACUUUUGAAAAUAGAUACCAUUUUCCAUAAGUGGAAAAAUAAAAAAAGUUGUAACUGAGAAUCUUUGUUUGGCAAAGAGUUGUAAACAGCUUUGUUAAACGUGUUUUUCAGGAAAAAUUGCAUAAAAAAUUCAUGGUUCAACCAACAUCAACUCCAGCAGCCUGUAAUUUAUAAGAUAUACCCAUAAAAAGCUAGUGUUCAUAUCGCAAUAUUAUAAUGGAAAAAUGUGUUUUUUAUUGAGCAAGAGGAUGUUUGGAGAAAAUUUCUUUACAAAACUUCUAAGAAAGAAAAACAAGAUUAACUUUAGUUUAUGAUAUUGAGGUGAUUUUCUUCCUCAAUAUUUCUUACGAGAGCAAACUAAAAAAAAUUAUAUAUUUUGUUUUAUAAACUAAAAUUAUCUUAUGCAUAAGUUGAUUUAUAAAAAAAUAUUAUAUAAUUCUCUUGAUACAUAUUUUGGUUUGUUAGUUUUCUUUAAAGUGAUCCUAAGUAUUUUUCGAUCUUAAUUUGUAAAAUUUAUUCAUUUUGAUUAUUUUACUGGUCGUGAUCUUUAAUUCAUCAUUUCAACUAAUAUUAAAUGAGUUUCUAAUUUUGAACAUAAAUGAAAAGUUAAGGUUAUCACGCAAUGCAAAAGUCCAACAAAAAUGUGAUAAAAAUGUGUUAAUAUUGUAUUUAACAUUUAUGAAUAAAAGAUUAAAACUACAUUGUAUUGAACAUCUCCCUCUCUGUCUUGCAGUAUUAGUUUCUCUUUCUAACUAUUCAUCACCUCUCAUCAAUUCCUUUCCAUGGAUAACGCCUCCUCAUACUACAAACUCCCACGGAAGUACGAUGUGCUCAUCAAUUUCACUGGAGAAGAAAUCCACAGAAAAAUUGUUUCUCAUCUCAAUUCUGCCCUCUCUACUAUUAUAAUGGUAUAUGCAGUUGUCAGAGUAACACACAAUCAAAACGAAAACAAUGUAAUUCAUAGUAAAAGAAAUGUAGUUAAUAGAUGAAAAGGAAGAAAGGAAAUGAGAUGCUGACACUUACAGGCAAAGGAUGAAGAAGACGAACAGUGAAAAUGAAAAAGGAUAAAACCCCUUUUUGUGUCUGACGUGAAUCACAGAGAGGAAAACUGAAAAAUGUUUUUGUAUGUAUAUUACAGCAAAAAGGUAAAAAACAAAAGGUAAAUAAAGAGGCUAAAGGGAAGUGGGCUGGGCUUCCAGAAUCGGCCCAAUAAUAUACUUUCAUCUACUGUUGGUCUCAUCACUUUCCUUCAUCACCCCAAUGCAGUAGUGAAGUCAACUCACAUCCAAGAACCUGUUCUCAGCCACUGUCGUGUAGUAAUUAUUGUUUUCACCCAAACCUAUUCUCAAUCUGCUUGGUGUCUUCAUCAGCUUCUACAAAUCAUCAAAUGGCACCAAACUUAUUACAGACAUGUUCUGCCUGUAUAUUAUGAAAUCCACCCAUCUGAUGUACGUCUUCAGAAGGGUGACUUUGGAAAAGCCUUGAAGGAAACUGCAC